Molecule: ribosomal RNA, 447 nt
Filed under: uncultured bacterium
Lineage: Bacteria
Description: partial 16S ribosomal RNA
Rfam family: Bacterial small subunit ribosomal RNA
Source: RNAcentral
AACGGACGCUGGCGGCAGGCUUAACACAUGCAAGUCGAGCGCCCCGCAAGGGGAGCGGCAGACGGGUGAGUAACGCGUGGGAAUCUACCGUGCCCUACGGAAUAGCUCCGGGAAACUGGAAUUAAUACCGUAUACGCCCCACGGGGGAAAGAUUUAUCGGGGUAUGAUGAGCCCGCGUUGGAUUAGCUAGUUGGUGGGGUAAAGGCCUACCAAGGCGACGAUCCAUAGCUGGUCUGAGAGGAUGAUCAGCCACAUUGGGACUGAGACACGGCCCAAACUCCUCCGGGAGGCAGCAGUGGGGAAUAUUGGACAAUGGGCGCAAGCCUGAUCCAGCCAUGCCGCGUGAGUGAUGAAGGUCUUAGGAUUGUAAAGCUCUUUCACCGGUGAAGAUAAUGACGGUAACCGGAGAAGAAGCCCCGGCUAACUUCGUGCCAGCCGCCGCUGUAA